Molecule: long non-coding RNA, 283 nt
Organism: Exaiptasia diaphana
Lineage: Eukaryota; Metazoa; Cnidaria; Anthozoa; Actiniaria; Aiptasiidae
Exons: 3
Source: RefSeq, a predicted model, not a curated record
UGGGGCAUAAAUUACGUGUUGCAUGUUUGGAACCUUUCCUCGGAAGCUUUGAGAAACAAGAAGUAGCUAAUUUAAGUAAAGCUUCUGGUUUUCCUCUGCCAUGAGGAGUGUUAUAAUACUGGCCGUAAUUGGCCUUGUAUCUGUAGCUUUUGCAGACGAAAAGGCAGCUGAAGAGACGAAGAAGGCUCAGGUUGUUCGUGCUAGACUCGUGACAUGUGGCGGAUGACGAUUGAAUAGCCUUCCUGAGGUGAAGGCAUUCUUGUUCGAGGACCUUGGAUAUUAA